GACGAACCGUGCGAACGUUAUUCGGAAUCACUGGGCUUAAAGCGCGUGUAGGCGGGACGGCACGUCUGUCGCUGAAAUCCCCCGGCUUAACCGGGGAACUGGCGUAGAUACGACCGUCCUGGAGGGGCGUAGGGGGACCUGGAACUUCCGGUGGAGCGGUGAAAUGCGUAGAUAUCAUUAGGAACGCCGGUGGCGAAAGCGACGUGCUGGACCUCUUCUGACGCUGAGGCGCGAAAGCUAGGGGAGCAAACGGG
Molecule: ribosomal RNA, 254 nt
Filed under: uncultured bacterium
Lineage: Bacteria
Description: partial 16S ribosomal RNA
Rfam family: Bacterial small subunit ribosomal RNA
Source: RNAcentral